AAAGGACUACACCCUAACUCUUGAACACAUUAUAUACAUUACACACUUGACACACACCUUAGGGAGGGAAGACCCACUUCAUCUUCUUCAUUUUUGAAGAAGAUAACAACAACUAAAAACCCUAAAACCACCACAGUCAGCCCCAUCGUCCGUCACGACCAUUCCCGUCCAAACGACCCUCUUCUUUCAUUGAACCACCAUCACUGCCCGCCACUGUGGCGUCCAAACGACUCCAUGUGAAGCAGCGAGCUGCUGCUUCAUCCCCAUCGUCCUCAUUCCAUCAACCCACGUCUCAAACAGUCCACUGCAUCGUCCAAACCUCCAGCUAACGUCCCCCGAAAACAAACAGCGAACCACUGUCUGUUCGGCCCUUCGUGUCCAAAUGACCACCUAGAAAAACCAGUAGCAGCCACGACUCAUUUUCAGUCCGUUCGGUUCGUCAAUUCGGCGUCGAGGUGACAGUGGUUUCGAGGUCAGGUCAUUUCCGUCGAGGGCCAAUUACUUUUCCGAUCAAGGCCGCUAGAGCUUAAAGAAAUUUCUAAUCUGGUUUUGAGUUGUCCGGCUUCCGGCCAAUGGGUUCUGUUAGAGAUCCGGUCGAUGGUCCUAGUUGCAGUCCUAUUUCUCGAGCACAUGUGGCUUCAGUGAAAAUUUCACUGAUUGUUCUUCAAUAAUACAAAACAAAAGGUCCUUUCUUCAGCUUUCAGAUUAUUUUGUAUAUUUAAUAUGUUUUUUUUUUGUGUGAACGUUUAAGCUUAAUUAUUUUCAUCUCUGUUUAAAUUUCUUACAUGUGAUUUGGAUCAUUUUCUAUCCAUUUUGAUGAUAUUGGGUUUAUUAUGUUGAUUUAUCAAAGGUUGGACAUGGAUAACUGAGGGACUUAGAAUGUCCAUGAUUAUGGCUUAAUGAGAGAAUUACAUAAUGUAGGCAGACUGCUAGUGCUCCUAUUUCGUUUGCAUCUGUGUGUAUAUAACUCAGUGUUGGUUGUUUUGGUCGCAUUAACUCGUAAGGUCCUUCUGUCAAGAGAAUAAAUCGAAUUCCUUUCCAACAGCCUGCACAUGCGUAGUUUUUCUUGUACAUUAAUUGUGGACUGAAUUUAUAUGUGUUUCAUGAAAAUUCGUACGUUGGUUGCAUAAUCAGAGGUGCUUGUCUAUUUGUGAUAACCUAGGUAGUCAAAGUUGUUCUUUUAAUGGCCCUUUGUUAAUAAGUGUAUACUUUUAAUAAAUCUACUUUCGUAAGAUCGGGCACAUUUACGUGAUUCAAAUCCAAAUUUCAAACGCCAUUGGAAUAUGCCAAAAGCUACGGGUGCCAUGAUUUGAGAUGUUUUAAAUAACCUUGAUUUUUUUCUAAAAUGUUAAAAGCCCCAUUUAAAUAAUAACACCAUUUUUGCUUUAACUUUUACUUUUACUUUAACUUUGAUUUUUGCAAGCUUUAGCUUUAUUAAAAUAAUGAUAAUAAUAACAAAAGCGGUUAAAAGAAUCAUGACUUGCACUAAGUACAUAGUUUUUAAAAUCAGAUAAAUAAGUCGAAUAUAACAGUUGAGCGACCGUGAUAGAACUACGGAACUCGGGAAUGCCUAACACCUUCUCUCGGGUUAACAGAAUUCCUUAUCCAAAUUUCUGGUACGCAGACUGUAAUAUAGAUCAUUCUUUUCCUCGAUUCGGGAUUCAACCGGUGACUUGGGACACCAUAAAUCUUCCAAGUGGCGACUCUGAAUUAAAUAAAAUAAUCUCAUUUCGAUUGUCCUUUAAUUGAAAAAAACACCCAUAAUCCCUUGCGCCCCCUGGUUGUAGAAAAAAGGAGGUGUGACAAUAUAUGCAAUAGCAAAAAAAAUAUACAGAACUUAAACAACUUAAAGGUAGGGGAGCAUGAUAUGGGGUGUAACAAUUCAGAUAUAGGAUCAACGAACAAAGAAAUGAAACUGUACAAUAACAUCAAUUAAAUAGAACAGGUAAAUCAACAACUGCACGGCACCAUCCUUCGUGAUUUUACUCUCUUUAUCACCAAAAUAGUCAAAUAAAGUACACGGCAUUACCCUUUGUGCUUUUCCUCACAUAAUUCUCAUAUCAAGGCACAGAAUGAUCCUUUCGUCCUUAAUUAUUCAAAAUAUGGAAUGGAAUGAUCCUUCAUGCAUAAUUAUCAAAAUAUGGCACGGAAUUACCCUUCGUGCAUAAUUAUCAAAAUAAUGGCACGGAAUAAGCCUUCGUGCAUAAUCUCUCAUCCUCACCCAAUCAACAGUUACAAUCAAUCGGUGUGAGGGGGUAAACAACAAUAUUAAACAUCCCGGCAUGGGAGAACAAAUAACCAAAUAAGUCCUAGCAAGGGUACCACAAAUAGCUCAAAUAUCCCGGCAAGGGAGAAUACAUAUAAUACUUAAAUCCAGGCAAGGGAGCAACAACAAUUAUAGACUACACGUCCUGGCAAGGGAAUAAUUACAACACUUUCUCUUUUGGUCACUUCUUUCCCAAUUACCAUAUUCUCGUUCGAGCCAACGAUUCAAUAAUGUACAAAUCAUAAUCUUCUUCAAACCUUUCACAUUAUAUGAAACUUAUUAAUUUAACAAGGAAGAGGUUUCAUAAAAGUCCGCAUAAACACAAUUAAGACUCAUGGUCAUGCUAGACUCCGGUGUAUAGAUACUCGUCACCAUGCCUAUACACCAUACUCAACAAUUAGAAAAAGGCAAAAAACAUCCUAAUUCUAUUCCCUCAAGCCAAAGUUAUAACAAACACUUACCUCGAAUGCUCCAAACCCAACUCAAACAUCUAGUAUAGCUUUACCCCUCGAAUUCAUUACCAAACCGCUCGAAUCUAGUCAUAAUUUUCUAGAAUGUGUUAACAAAUGCUACUUGAAUCAAUUUGAAUGCAUGAAAAUGAAUUUCCAGAGUUUUACUCAAAAAUUCCCAAAUUUCCCAAAAUACCCACGUGGUCAAAACCCGAGGUUCGAAUCAAAACCCGAUUACCUAUAUCCCCAUGAGCACAUAUAUAUAAGUUAUUUUGGAAUCGGACCUCGAAUUGAGGUCUAAAACCCCAAAUUUUGGAAACCUUAGGCUCUACCCUAAAUUCCCAAAUUUCCCCAUUAAAAUAUUAGUUUUGAAAUAAAAUUAUGUUUAAAGACGUUAAGGAGUAAAGAAAAUAAGCUACAAAUCACUUACCACUCAUUUUGAAGAAAGAUAAUCGUUUAGAAAAUCGUCUCUUAUGUUUUGGGUUUUGAAAAAGUGAAAAUCAGUGAAAAUCCCGACUUUAUAUACUUUACUGAAGGUUGAUGCGGACCAUAAAAAAAUAUACUGCGGCCGCACCGAGGAAGGGAAGAAAAAAAGUCUCUCAGAACCUACCCAGCUCAAACCGCACUGAUUUGGUGCGCGGCCGCGCUGGUCCAUCUGGAAUUCACUCACUCUCUGAACUUAGCCAUGUAGACCAUGCAGAAAUGCACCGCGGCCGCACGGCUUCCAGCGUGGACCGCACGGAAAUGACGGCGUCCGCACUGGGGUCAUGCAACACCUAUACCUGCAACAUCUGAUACUUUUAAGUCUAAGACCUCCCAGGACCCACUCAAAACUCACCUGAGCCCUCGGGCUCCAAACCAAACAUACAUAUAACCUCAAAAAUAUCCUACGGACUUUCUCGUGCGAUUACAUCACCAAAAUACCAUCAUAAAUGAGGAAUCAACCUCAAAAUCAUCAUUUUUCAUUCAAACUUCUUAAACUUUCAAACUUAGAGAUUUAGGCCCGAAACACGUCAAAUGACGUCCUAAUUCGACCAAAUUACACAGAAAUGUCUUAAUAUAUAUAUAAGGCAUCUAUUGGGCGCCGAAACCAGAAUACGAGCCCUAUACCAGUACUUUCUAAUCCAAUUUCAUUUCAAAUUUCUCAUAUUCAUUUCAGAAAACAAUUUCUUUCAAAUAUUCAUUACUCUGGCUCGGGACCUUUAGUUUCGAUACCAGACAUACGCCCGAGUCGCCUAUUUUUCUACCAACUCUCCGGGACCGUCACAUCACGGGUUCGGGUCCGUUUACCCAAAAUGUUGAGCAAAGUCAACUUUAAUAAUUGUAGAUCCAAAUGUCUAGCAACGUUUCACAACAUUAACAUAUAAGCUUUCCGGCUACGCGCGCAUGCAAAUCGAGUAAACCCUAAUCGAGGUUUUCAAGACCUCGAAGAUAUAGAAUGGGUGAGAAUUCCGGUGAUGACCCCUUUGGAUCGUCACAUUCUCCACCUCUAAAAUAAUUGUUCGUCCUCGAACGGAAAUAAGAAGGGAGUACGUGAGUCAGGAAAAAGAUGGGGAUAACAGCUCGGCAUAUCAGACUCGGACUCCCAGGUCGAUGCCUUCGGAGGCUGACCUCUCCACUGGACAUGCACUAAAGGAAAACUCUUCGACAUCAACUAUCAAACCUACCGGUCUAGAAUGGCUACCAGCUCCUCCUCUAAGAUAGAUCCUUGUCCAACUGGACAAUGCUGAAAUCUAACACGUGGGCUAGAUCACCUUGAUACUUCCGAAGCAUGGAUACGUGAAAAACUGGAUGCACGGCUGACAAGUUAGGUGGCAAGGCAAGUCAAUAAGCCACCUCUCCCACACGAUCGAGAAUCUAAAAUGGACCAAUGAACCUAGGGCUAAGCUUGCCCUUCUUCCCGAAUCGCAUCACGCCCUACAUGGGUGACAGUUGGAGCAAUACUCGCUCACCAACCAUGAAAGCCACAUCUCGAACUUUGCGAUCUGCAUAACUCUUCUACCUAGAUUGAGCUGUCUGAAGUCUGUCCUGAAUAAUCUUGACCUUAUCGAAGGCCUCAUGAACUAGAUUUGUACCCAAUAACCGAGCCUCUCACGAAUCAAACCAUCCAACUAGAGACCGACAUCGCCUACCAUACAACGCCUUAUAUGGAGCCAUCUGAAUGCUGGACUGGUAGCUAUUGUUGUAGGCGAACUCUACUAAAGGCAAAAACUGGUCCCAUGAGCCUCCGAAAUCAAUGACACGGGCUCGGAGCAUAUCCUCUAGUAUCUUAAUAGUUCGCUCGGACUGACCGACCAUUUGAGGAUGGAAUGCUAUGCUCAAGUAAACCUGGGUGCCCAAAACUUCUGCUGGACUGCUCUCCUGAAGUCCGAGGUAAACUACGUACCCCAGUCUGAUAUGAUAGAUACCGGCACCCCAUGAAGGUGAACAAUCUCUUGGAUGUAGAUCUUGCUAACCUCUCUGAGGAAAAGUCGCUACAACGGGAAUAAAAUGCGCUGACUUGGUCAACCUACAAUAAUGACCCAAAUCGCAUCAAACUUCUUCCGGGUCAUCGGAAGUCCAGUAACAAAAUCCAUAGUAACCCUCUUCCACUUCCACUCGGGAAGCUCAAUCCUCUGAAAUAAACCGCUAGGCCUCUGAUAUUCAUAUUUAAGCAACUGACAAUUCAAACAUCGAGUCACAUAUGCCACAAUAUCUUUCUUCAUUCUACGCCACCAAUAGUGCUGCCUCAUAUCCUGAUACAUCUUCGCGACGCCCGGAUAUAUAGAAUACCGAGAACUAUAGGCCUCCGCUAGGAUAAAAUAUCGAACCCCAUCAACAUUGGGCACACACACUCGCCCCUCCAAUCUUAAAACACCAUCACCAUCUAAGGUAACCUUAUUGGAACCUCUAUGAUGCACCGUGUCUCUCAUGACACACAAAUGGGGAUCAUCAAACUGCCCCUCACGGAUACGCUUGAACAACGACGAACAAGAGACCGUGCAAGCUGACACCCUGUUAGGCUCAGAAAUAUCCAACCUCACAAAUCGAUUGGCCAAUGCAUGAACAUCCAAGGCAAGCGGUCUCUGGCUGACCGGAAUAUAGGUAGGAAUACCACGCUGGCGGAGUUCCUACUCAAUGCAUCGGCCACCACAUUGGCCUUCCCUUGGUUAUACAAGAUAGUAACAUCAUAAUCCUUCAACAAAUCUAACCACCUUAUCUACCUCUAAUUCAACUCUUUCUGCUUGAACAGAUACUGAAGACUCUUGUGAUCAGUGUAAACCUCACACGUCACACCAUAUAGGUAAUGCCUCCAAAUCUUAAAGGCGUGAACAAUGGCUGCCAACUCAAGAUCAUGAACCGAAAUUCUUCUCAUAGAUCUUCAACUGCCUUGAAGCAUAGGCAAUGACCUUGCCAUCCUGCAACAAUACUGCAUCGAGCCCAAUGCGGGAAGAAUGCCGAAUAUAGGUAAGACUACCUAUGUUGGCUGACUCCUACUCAAUGCAUCGGCUACUACAUUGGCCUUCCCCGGGUGAUACAAGAUGGUAACAUCAUAAUAUUUCAAUAAAUCCAACCACCUCCUCUGCCUCUGAUUCAACUCAUUCUUCUUGAAUAGAUACUGAAGACUCUUGUGAUCAGUGUAAACCUCACACGUCACACCAUAUAGGUAAUGCCUCCAAAUCUUCAAAGCAUGAAAAAUGGCUGCCAACUCAAGAUCAUGAGCCGAAUAAUUCCUCUCAUGGAUCUUCAACUUCCUCGAAGCAUAGGCAAUGACUUUGCCGUCCUGCAUUAAUACUGCGCCAAGACCAAUACGGGAAGCAUCACAAUAAAUUGUAUAAGGUCCUGAACCCGUGGAAAAAACCAAUACUGGUGCCGUAGUCAGAGCCGUCUUGAGCCUCUGGAAGCUCUCCUCACACUCAUCUGAACAUCUGAACUGGGCAUCCUUCUGGGUCAAUCUGGUCAUUGGCGCUGCAAUAGAUGAAAACCCCUCCACGAACCAAUGGUAGUAACCUUUUACCCCGAGAAACUCCGGAUCUCUGUAGCUGAUGCUGGUCGAGGCCAGUUCUUGACUGCCUUAAUCUUUUUCGGGUCCACCUGAAUACCCUUUGCUAAAAUAACGUUACCCAAAAAGGGAACCGAACUCAACCAGAACUCGCACUUCGAAAACUUGGCAUAUAACUGACUAUCCUUCAAAGUCUGAAGAACCACUCUGAGGUGCUGCUCGUGCUCCUCCCGACUACGAGAGUAUAUCAGAAUAUUGUAAAUGAAAAUAAUCACAAACAAAUCCAAAUAGGGCCUAAACACUCGGUUCAUCAACUCCAUAAAUGUUGCGAGGGCAUUUGUCAACCCAAAUGACAUGAACAAAAACUCAUAAUGCCCAUACUGAGUGCAAAAUGUUGUCUUAGGGACAUCAGAUCCCUAAUCCUCAGUUGAUGGUAUCCAAACCUCAAAUCUAUGUUUGAAAGACAAGUUUGCACCCUGAAUCUGGUCAAAUAAAUCGUCGAUCCUUGGCAGUGGAUACUUGUUCUUUAUCGUCACCUUGUUCAAUUGCCGGCAAUCAAUGCAUAUCCUCAUCGACCUAUCCUUUUUCUUCACAAGUAACACCGGCGCACCCUAAGGUGAUACACUAGGUCUAAUGAAACCCUUAUAAAACAAAUCCUGCAAUUGAUCCUUCAACUCUUUCAACUCUGGAGGGGCCAUGCAAUACAGCAGAAUAGAAAUGGGCUGAGUGGCUGGAGCCAGAUCAAUACAAAAAUAAUAUCCCCAUUGGGCGGCAUAUCCAAUAGGUCUGAAGGGAAAACCUCGGGGAACUCCCGAAUAAUAGGAACAGAAUCAAUGGACGGGACCUCUGCGCUGGAGUUACGAACGUACACCAAAGUAAGCUAGACACCCCUUCUCUACCAUGCGUCGAGCUUUCACAUAUGAUAUAACUCUGCGGGUGGCAGGACUUGGGGUCCCUCUCCACUCUAGUCGGGAAAAAUCUGGCAAAGCCAAUGUCACAGUCUUGGCGUGACAAUCCAAGAUAGUAUAAUACGAGGACAAACGAUCCAUCUCCAAUAUAACGUCGAAGUCCACCAUGUAUAAGAGAAAUAAAUCAAUACGAUUCUCAAGACCCUCAAAUACUACCACAGAGGAACGAUGCACUUAGCCUCGACCUUGCCCUCUGCCCCUGAUAGGAGCUAUUGUUGGAGGCUCGGGCUGCAGCGCGGUAGAAAAGGAAGCACACGUUCUCGCCAUCUACAAACAAAUAGAGUAGAAAGACAAUCAGUACUUGAGAAACAUAAUCUCACGGCAAGAAUGAAUGAAGUGAAAUUUUCCUAACUCUAUAGCCUUUGAGGAAUAAACAUACACGUCUCUGUACUGAUCCCUAAAACUCUACUGAGUUUUUCUGUGAGUUGUGAGACCUAUGUAACCUAGUGCUCAGAUACCAACUUAUCACGAACCGAAUUUUCCAUCAUCGGGAGUCGUGAUGACGCCUACUAUAAGGAUCUAGGCAGGCCAACAUUUAAACAUUUUUAAUUAACAUUUGCGGUAAUGUAGAUAAACGAAAAAAUUAAAUAAAGCGGAAGUCGUUAAACUUAUAUAACUGGAAAAAAAAUGCGAAAGUCUGAAUACACCUCUACCCAGUGUUUGGUGUCACUACUCACGAACUGCUAUAGAAUACUAAAACAAAAGUCUGAAUAAAAUACGUCAGUGUUUGUAUCAAUACAAAGAAAAACAAAUUAAUGAGAGAGGGUUUCCGGCCUGCGGACGUCAGCUACGCUAACUCGCAAGUCCCUGGACUGAAGGAUAACUCCCGAUCAAUACUAUUAUUGUGGUCCAAAAGCUGCUCCUAGAUCUGUGCAAAGAGAUGCACAUAGAGUAGCAUUAGCCCAACCGACCUCAUGUGCUGGUAAUUGCUUGGCCUAACCCCGGUUAAGUAGUGAUGAGGCUAGCCAGGACCUACUGAGAACAACAUGUGGAGAUAUAUAUGUUAUAGCGGAAAAAAAGUACAGAACUUCAACAACUAAGAGGGAGGGGAGCAUGUUAUGGGGUGUAACAAUUCAGAUAUAGGAUUAACGAACAAAGAAAUGGAACUGUGCAAUAACAUCAAUUAAAAAGAACAUGAAUCAAUAACUGCACGGCACCAACCUCCGUGCAAUUACUCUCUUUCUCACCAAAACAGUCUAAUAAAGUGCACAUCAUUACCCUUUGUGCUUUUCCUCAUAUAACUCUCCUAUCAAGGCACGGAAUGACCCUUGUGCUCAAUUAUUCAAAACAUGAUACGGAAUAACCUUUUGUGCAUAAUUAUAAAAAUAUGGCACGGAAUAACCCUUCGUGAAUAAUUAUAAAAACAUGGCACGGAAUGAACAUUCGUGCAUAAUUAUCAAAACAAUGGAACAGAAUGACCCUUCGUGCAUAAACGCUCUUCCUCACCCAAUCAACAGUUAUAACCAAUCGGGGUGAGGGGUAAAAAACAGUAUUAAACAUCCCAGCUAGGGAGAACAAAUCAACAAAAUAAGUCUCGGCAAGGGUACCACUAUAUCUCAAAUAUCCAGGCAAGGGAGAAUACAUAUAAUACUGAAAUCACGGUAAGUGAGCAAUAACAAUUAUAGUCUACACGUCCCAACAAGGGAAUAAUUAUAACACUUUCUACUUUGGUCACUUCUUUUCCAAUUACCAUAUUCUCGUUCGAGCCAACGCUCCAAUAAUGUACAAAUCAUAAUUCUUCCUCAAACCUUUCACAUUAUAUGAAACUUAUUAAUUAAACCUGGCACGUAUAUUAAGGAUAUAAAGAGUUCCUCGGGAUACCGAGAGAUACCCUGGGCACAUAUAUUGAAUAUACCAAGAGAUACUCGGGAUACCAAGAGAUCCCUAGCAUAUAGUGAGGAUACUAAGAGAUUUUCGGGAUACCAAAAGAUCCCUAGCAUGUAUUGAGAAUACCAAAAGAUCCUCGGGAUACCAAGGGAUCCCUGGUUAUAAUCCUUGUUAUGAGUGGUACUUCCUUGUGGUUUGCCUUCAUCUCUCUUUCCGUUAUUGUACUCUUAUUAUCCUAUGUAGAUUUUUACUGUAGAUUCUCAAUUGUACAGCUCAUCUUAUCUUGUUAUUUUUAUAUUUAUUUAAUCUUAGUACGACCCUGACCUUCCUCGUCACUACCUAACCGAGGUUAGGCUUGACACUUACUGAGUACUGUUGUGGUGUAGGCAUGCCUCUUAUGCACAUGUCUUUGAUAUCCAUAUCCAUGUACCGCUACUCAGGCAUAUCAUCCUUGAGGAGGCGACUGCUCUAGAGACUUCGAGGUACAUUUGCCGCGUCUGCAGACCGAGAAGUCCCUUUCUAUUCCUACUUUAGUAUUUAGC
Molecule: long non-coding RNA, 10034 nt
Filed under: Nicotiana benthamiana
Lineage: Eukaryota; Viridiplantae; Streptophyta; Magnoliopsida; Solanales; Solanaceae
Description: long non-coding RNA (NBEN_LNC006415)
Source: RNAcentral